This 24-nucleotide non-coding RNA is filed under the name Pteropus alecto (black flying fox). Its record names the gene pal-miR-190b-5p. RNAcentral also lists the same sequence under 3 other names. Lineage: Eukaryota; Metazoa; Chordata; Mammalia; Chiroptera; Pteropodidae. The record is from miRBase by way of RNAcentral.
UGAUAUGUUUGAUAUUGGGUUGUU